CAGUGGGAAACUGCGGAAGGUUCUUUUACAACAGAUUUCUCUAGGACAAAAUUAAGCACAAAUGAGAGUGCUUUGAAAAACAAAUUAUAUAUUGAUGAAGAAGCGGUGCAGCCUUGGACUGCGAUUAGAUGCACUUAGUGGAACAGAAGGAGUACCCUGCUGUCAUGGUAAAAGACUAGGUAUGUACAGUGAGCUGCAAUGAUUCUCAGGUUUUCUUCAGCCACAGAAAGCAUUUGCCUAACCCGGCUGCAACAAGAAGAAGCCCCCUGUAGAGAGAUGCCAUUCAGCUUGUACUUUGGCUCAGGGGAAUCUUUUCAUUCCUGUUACACGAGUGCAGUUUUACAGACCUUCACAGAAAAUAGUCUGUUCUGAUGUGGCCUAUUUACAUCAUAAAAUGGGAAGUCACGGUGGUUUUAUAUACAUUUGUCUGUACUUCAUCUUAUGGAAGAGCCUGCCAGAGGUUUCAUUUUGUUACAUUUUCUUUUCUAGAUGAGGUGCCAGAAACUGGGCCCAGAAGCUGAGGCUCUCAGUUUGCUGGCAGAAGGAACUCUUGUUAGACAUAAGGACAGUAAAAUACAUUAGUUUGCUAAGUGGAAGGGGAAAAGAGAGCAAAAAUGAGGGGCUGGAUGAAAUGGAAUGGGAAAAGGAAUCAGUGAACUAAUUUGUUACUGAGGAGAUUUGGUGCCCGCCGCACCCACAGUGUGCCAGCUACCAGUCACGGGGGAAUCAGAUUGUCAUCUGCAAUAUGGUAAAUUGCUUUUGAAGGGGCUCCCCAAAAGCACUUUAAAACCUGGCAGACUAUGAAGGACUUAGCGCUCAUGAAGUUCAAGGCCACCUCAAAUCUUUUGCCUGGUCAGACUUGCCUUCUCCUACCCAGAUUUUCAGGUCAGGUAUAACUGUUUUGAGGGUGGGGUCUGCUCAAUGGGAAAACACAAAGCACAAACCAAAUGUAAACUAUAAAAAACCAGUUGGUCUUGUUCCAUCCAAAACAUGUACAAGGAGGUAGCUCUUCUUUACUCAGGGAAAAUGAAGCGUCAUUUAGCAGGGUCCUACCAAGUGCCCUAUAGUG
This is a long non-coding RNA of Corvus hawaiiensis (hawaiian crow), 1069 nucleotides long. RefSeq lists it as uncharacterized. Lineage: Eukaryota; Metazoa; Chordata; Aves; Passeriformes; Corvidae. The record is from RefSeq and is a predicted model, not a curated record. The transcript has 3 exons.